UUUUUAAGGAGGGCACAGCUUACAGUGCCCCAUGCGGGGAUCGAACCAGCAACCCUGGUGCCAUCAGCAGCACUCUCUAACCAACUGAGCCAACCGGCCACCCCUUGAGGACAUUUCUUAAUUGAAAUAUUUACUGAGUUCCAACUAUGGGCAAGUGCUCGUGUUACGGAUAGUAGAGGGAAUACAGAGAAGCAAAAGAAAUAUCCCUAGGAAGAAGUUUGUCCCUACUAAGAAGGAAUUCGCUUUUACAAAUAAAGUAACUAAACUGCAGAGAAAAAGCUGGCCAGUAAUACUAAAGACUUCAGAUUGGCAAACGCAAGCCCUUCCAAUAAACAACUCCCUUCAUCUUGAAAACGGAGGUGACACAUUCCGCAGCAUUCAACAACUAAGAUUCAACAGGCCCUUCUAGACUCUGAGGUCGGAGGCAGAGCCUGGGUGUCCAAGGCAACGCCCCCUGAAGUGGGUGUGAAGAGUCAGCCACACAGCUCUGGAGCCAUUCCACACCACUGGGGAGGUCCCAGGCUGGAGGCUUUCCAAGCUGUUGCAGGAUGGACUUCACCGCUGCCUUUUUAACCUACAGCAACUCAGGCUGCUGCCUCAGCCUCUCCAAAUUCAAAGGCCUUUUGAGUGAAACGGUUCCCCACAAUCCAUGGGUCUUUUAGAUGCUUCAUGCUUUCUUUCAUGCUUUCACCCAACAAUUACUGAGCACAUGCUACCUUCCUGAACUUCCUGGCUGGCACCUGAAGGGGAUUGUGGCUGGUGGCCAUUUGCUUGGAUGUGGGACCUCCAGCUCCUGAAACAGACAUCUUGUUGGUUUUUCUUCUUUAUCUGGGAGAAAGCCCAGAGCUGUCUCACAGCUGUGUGUCACCCCUGCUUUCUUUGCAGCUAUCUCGAGGGUUGCGAGAGGCUCAGUCUCCUUAUGUCAAGAUUUCCAAUAUGUUAACUAAUAAAGAUGCCAA
Long non-coding RNA from Rhinolophus ferrumequinum (greater horseshoe bat), 959 nucleotides. RefSeq lists it as uncharacterized. The transcript has 3 exons. NCBI's taxonomy places the organism in Eukaryota, Metazoa, Chordata, Mammalia, Chiroptera, Rhinolophidae. The record is from RefSeq and is a predicted model, not a curated record.